RNAcentral lists this transfer RNA (77 nucleotides) under Pseudomonas putida. RNAcentral's name for it is "tRNA-Asp". It matches the Rfam family "tRNA". From Rfam's summary of the family: Transfer RNA (tRNA) molecules are approximately 80 nucleotides in length. Their secondary structure includes four short double-helical elements and three loops (D, anti-codon, and T loops). The record is from RNAcentral. Lineage: Bacteria; Pseudomonadati; Pseudomonadota; Gammaproteobacteria; Pseudomonadales; Pseudomonadaceae.
GCAGCGGUAGUUCAGUCGGUUAGAAUACCGGCCUGUCCCGCCGGGGGUCGCGGGGUCGAGUCCCGUCCGCUGCGCCA